Long non-coding RNA from Sphaerodactylus townsendi, 106 nucleotides. RefSeq lists it as uncharacterized. The record is from RefSeq and is a predicted model, not a curated record. Lineage: Eukaryota; Metazoa; Chordata; Lepidosauria; Squamata; Sphaerodactylidae. The transcript has 3 exons.
GAAAGAGGAAAGAAUGGAAAUUGGAAAUGAAAGUAAGAGAUUUGGGCAGGAAAAUAGUGUUCCCUGCCUGCUGGUGUUCACUCAGCAGGUGGGAAAUGUCUUCAAC